This 1224-nucleotide ribosomal RNA is filed under the name Streptococcus sobrinus. RNAcentral's name for it is "bacterial SSU rRNA". It matches the Rfam family "Bacterial small subunit ribosomal RNA", at positions 56 to 1261 of the family's 1533-position model. Lineage: Bacteria; Bacillati; Bacillota; Bacilli; Lactobacillales; Streptococcaceae. The record is from RNAcentral.
UGCAGUGGACGCAUUGGUAACACCGGACUUGCUCCAGUGUUACUAAUGAGUCGCGAACGGGUGAGUAACGCGCUAGGUAACCUGCCUGAUAGCGGGGGAUAACUAUUGGAAACGAUAGCUAAUACCGCAUAAGAGGAGUUAAUUCAUGUUAACUGUUUAAAAGAAGCAACGGCUUCACUAUCAGAUGGACCUGCGUUGUAUUAGCUAGUAGGUAGGGUAACGGCCUACCUAGGCAACGAUACAUAGCCGACCUGAGAGGGUGAACGGCCACACUGGGACUGAGACACGGCCCAGACUCCUACGGGAGGCAGCAGUAGGGAAUCUUCGGCAAUGGACGCAAGUCUGACCGAGCAACGCCGCGUGAGUGAAGACGGUUUUCGGAUCGUAAAGCUCUGUUGUAGGGGAAGAACGUGUGUAAGAGUGGAAAGCUUACACAGUGACGGUACCCAACCAGAAAGGGACGGCUAACUACGUGCCAGCCGCCGCGGUAAUACGUAGGUCCCGAGCGUUGUCCGGAUUUAUUGGGCGUAAAGGGAGCGCAGGCGGUUUAGUAAGUCUGAAGUUAAAGGCAUUGGCUCAACCAAUGUAUGCUUUGGAAACUGUUAGACUUGAGUGCAGAAGGGGAGAGUGGAAUUCCAUGUGUAGCGGUGAAAUGCGUAGAUAUAUGGAGGAACACCGGUGGCGAAAGCGGCUCUCUGGUCUGUCACUGACGCUGAGGSUCGAAAGSGKGGGKAGSGAACAGGAUUARAUACCCUGGUAGUCCACGCCGUAAACGCUGAGUGCUAAGGKGUUAGUCCUUUCCGGGACUUAGUGGCCAAACUAACGCAUUAAGCACUCCGCCUGGGGAGUACGACGCAAAGGUGRAACUCAAAGGAAUUGACGGGGGCCCGCACAAGCGGUGGAGCAUGUGGUAAUUCGAAGCAACGCGAAGAACCUUACCAGGUCUUGACAUCCCGAUGCCCGCUCUAGAGAUAGAGUUUUUCUUCGGAACAUCGGAGACAGGUGGUGCAUGGUUGUCGUCAGCUCGUGUCGUGAGAUGUUGGGUUAAGUCCCGCAACGAGCGCAACCCUUAUUGUUAGUUGCCAUCAUUAAGUUGGGCACUCUAGCGAGACUGCCGGUAAUAAACCGGAGGAAGGUGGGGAUGACGUCAAAUCAUCAUGCCCCUUAUGACCUGGGCUACACACGUGCUACAAUGGUUGGUACAACGAGUCGCAAGCCGGUGAC